UGUGAUGUGUCAUGCUGCUGCCGC
This 24-nucleotide non-coding RNA is filed under the name Mus musculus (house mouse). The record is from RNAcentral. Lineage: Eukaryota; Metazoa; Chordata; Mammalia; Rodentia; Muridae.